RNAcentral lists this long non-coding RNA (238 nucleotides) under Homo sapiens (human). Its description in RNAcentral is "HSALNT0196449". The record is from RNAcentral. Lineage: Eukaryota; Metazoa; Chordata; Mammalia; Primates; Hominidae.
CUGGAAGUCGGUCCAGGAGCUUUUUGGAUAAUCCACCUCAUGACUGGAAAACAACGAAGAAACCCAGUAGCUUCUUCGCCGUGUGGAUUCAGACCCCGGGAGCCCAGGCCUGCACCUGGGCAGCUGCUCCCUGCACGUGGCCGGACAUAUGGAAUAUGGAGCCCCGCUGCCUUGGAGUCAGAGAGCUGCCAAGUAGAAUUUGCAUGAGAUGAAAUUGAGAUGGACUUGCCUUGCUCUU